CGCUAAGGCCCAAUAGUAUUUAUAAUUUACAGAGGGAGCGAAGGCAACUCCAGACGUUCUGUCAAUAGGACGGAGGGGGGAAAAGAGCAACAAAGAUGGGAAGGUCUUCUUGUUUGCGUGAGGCAACAGCUUUACUUGUGAUAGGCAUUCUGUGCUUGGUCAUAAUUUUUAGUAAAAAGGACAUUCCUCCUGAUGAACCCUCUGACCAUGUCCACAUAAACAGAAUGGAAUCAACCUAUCAAAACAGACCUCAGAAA
Molecule: long non-coding RNA, 257 nt
Organism: Coregonus clupeaformis (lake whitefish)
Lineage: Eukaryota; Metazoa; Chordata; Actinopteri; Salmoniformes; Salmonidae
Exons: 2
Source: RefSeq, a predicted model, not a curated record